Long non-coding RNA from Jaculus jaculus (lesser Egyptian jerboa), 184 nucleotides. RefSeq lists it as uncharacterized. NCBI's taxonomy places the organism in Eukaryota, Metazoa, Chordata, Mammalia, Rodentia, Dipodidae. The transcript is spliced from 3 exons. The record is from RefSeq and is a predicted model, not a curated record.
CACCUGGCUGCCGCUGCGCUUCCUCGACUUCCACUACCAGCUGCGCAUCCGCCCCAAGCACGCGGAGGACGAGUCGGACGACGGCGCCCACUUGGUGAACGUGGCGAGCCCGGAGGAGCGCUCGUUCGUGUUCCCGAGCCCGGCGCCCCGCCCCCGGCAGGAGGUGCGCGUGCGCGCGGGGGAC